AGACAAGGAAUUGUUUCUUGGUGGAUUAAGCAGGGCAAUAUGCGAUGCCAUAUGACCAUUUAAUAUAGGAAAUACUUGUAUGGAAAUAAUUAAAUUCACAAUGUUGCAUCCAACUAAAUGUUGGUUACACUCAGACCAAGUGCAUCUGCAGUAGGUGUUGAGUGGGAUAUCUGGUAAAACAAAGAUAUUUGCUUGUUAGAAGUUUAAGGCAUGCACUUGUUGGGCUAAUGUAGUUGAGAGGAGAUUGAAUGGUAUUUUCAUACAUAAGGAUGACUGAAGGUCUUGAAACAAAGGGGAACGGAUGUGUGUUGAAGGAUCAGAAAAGUGAGAAUAAGAGGUGGAGACUUGGGAGUACCUCUGUGGAGGAGUUUAAAGAAAGCUUGACUUGACAUAAUCUAUUCUCUAGGGAGAAGGGUGAAGCAUGUCAUAAUCACCCUACUAAUGUGACAAAGCUGGUGGAUUUUGUAUGUCAUGGUUUGAUAUUUUCUUCAUUAAAGUAUACAUGCUGCAAGUUUUCUCUAUAUAUCACUGCAACAUGGUACGCUGGGCUCUUGAUAUCUGACUCAUGAAAGCUUGGUACCUAUCCUUUGUCUUCGAUGCUUUUCUUUCAAAGAUGGGAUGCUCCCUUAUAUAGUUCAGUUACAGCAAUAGCUUAUAUAUUGGGGUAAGUCUUGACAGUUGUGUUUAUUGUAUAUUUUCUUCUUAUGCUGACAACUACCAUGCAGUGUACUUGAUACAAUGGCCAACUUUUGACGAACAUAAUUCUUUUAAUUAUUCUCUCAAGGUAUGCACGACAAGUCGCAGAAUUCUUCGAAUUUGUGAAGAAAAAGAAAGAAGCUUCGUCUACAGAAUCUGCUACUGACGGUAAGAACCAAACCCAACAAGUAGUGCUUCCUCCCAAAGGUGGUCUGUGGGUCCCAGAAGGCAGUCGUUUCCCAGAAUCUGCCCUAAAAUCUCUUGACUUCAGAAGAGCCAUGUCAUUCCUCUCUGGUUAGCUGCCGCUCCAGCAACCAAGCAAAAUACUCUUGCAGAUGUGCAGAAAUCCUUAAUGAGAUGAAGGAUUUUAGUAAUGUGGAAUAUGCUUCAGGUGCUAGACACGUCAUAUUGAUCCAUCUGGAGCUAAUGGAUGGAGCUAAUUUUGGCUCCAGAAAGAAACUAGGUCCAUGUUGUAAGGGUAUAACUUGUAGAAAAUCUGGUGUUUAUGUCAAUAUAACAUGUUAGGAGUUGUCUUGAUGUAAAUGAUUUGAUGUUGUAUGGUUAUGGAAGUUCAAAUGGUGGACGUAUGCUUCCAGAAUCCUAAUUUUGUUUGAGAUGGAUGACUUCAUUUGACUAGUUUCAUUUGGGUUAGCAUCGGGCAUUAAUUACACUCCCUGAUGGACAUAUUCCAGAGAAGGAAUGGAAGAAGUGUGUUCAGGAUAUUCAAGGCCGUAUGAUUGGUUGUGGUGCCUUUCACCCUUUAUCAAGGGUGGGAGUGGAUAUAAACGGAGACAAUACUAAUCAGAUUGAAUGGCGAAAGAAGAUUUAAAGCAUGCUCAUUUUUUCUCUUUGGAAUGAAAUCGCCACAGGUUAUCUAGCAAUGCCUCUGGAUCAAAAUGAAAUCGUCGCUGUGCUAAUGUUAUUCCUUUUAAGUUUUGGGAUGGAAUGACCACUGAUGACAAGGAUCAAGUUUUAAGGCUUGUUUAGAAAGGUCCAUCCUAGAACAGAUAAUUCAACUACAGAACUUUUCAGCUUGUGGGCCGGCAGCACCUGUACUAUUGAAAUGGUUUGUCGGUAGAGAUGUUCCCACUGGUGCUCCUUCCAAUGGUACUAUAAUUUCUACUUUUAGCUUGAAUUUCUUUUUUUUUGUCUAUCUACGUUCCAUAAAAAAAUGGAGUGUUGGUCAAAGCAAGCCGCCCUAUUCUAUUACCAGACAUAACUAGGAGAAGUUCGUCUGCUGGAAAUGCUUUAUUUCGUUUUGUUUUUUCAUUUUCUUCUCAUCGAAUCCAUGAGGAACUUGUCAUAUUUAUAAUCUUUUUGCAGUCUGCUAUAUUUACAAAUCUUUCGUAAUCUCUUCUCUUCACCACAUGAUGGGUUAGCAAAGCGUGAGCGGGGCGAAGGAAAGUUCAAAGAUCACUUUUGGAUGGAUGAUUGGACUAUAAAUACAAAAGAUUUUGUUCACAUACUCUACAUAUUUUUUAAGUCACGUACAAGCUGCUCUUUGCUCUCUUUUUUUGUCCCUCUUUUCCCCUGAGAAAACACACCAGCUGCUUGUUCGAACAUCAUUACUAUGUUCAGCUACUUCGAUCUUUCUUGCUAGUGUAGGUGCUGCGUCCAUCCCAGAUGAUCCAACCUCACCUCCCCUACAUUGUUCUGGAGCUGGAGGCUGCUCAAUUAAGAAUGGUGAAACGUCUCAACUUCAACAGCUUCACCUAGGAGGCCUCUCUAGUGCAAUCCAACCAAAUUUCCCUUUCCUAAAGUCACUCAAGACACGGACAGCAGCGUGACUAACAUCUCCAUUAAACAAGUGAAGGGCAAGUUUCUCGAGGAAUCUGCAAUCAAUUAUUAAUGCCAAGCUGACGACUCAACAUUUACAGGAAGCAGAAAGUGUGAAUAAAUAAAUCAUGCAGCAAAAGGGAUGCAUACAUUUUACCACAGCGACCAUCUGAAUCAAUUCUAUAGCGCUUGCAGAGAGUAUCUGAGCCUGUAGGAAACCAGCGAGUGCAAUUGGCAACUUGACAGGAUGAGAUAAAACAGUAGCAUUUUGCUUCUGGUUAAAUGAUAGAAAUGCAAACAUAAAGUUACGAAAUGUAAACAUAAAAUUACAAAAAACUAUACAACUGACUGAUCUAUUCUCAAGGAAGUAUCUCAGAGGAUCGUGUGGAUCAAUAGAAUUGCUAUAGUAUACAAGGAGGUCUCCAAAUAUUUGACAAUAACGUGUCAGAACUGUUUGAAUUGAACAAAAUAAUACGUACACAACAAGAAAGUUACUAUCAUAAUUUAUAAAUAGAAGCAUAGAUUUUAAUACUUGCAUGGAUAUUUGUUGGUAUAUGGACAACAAUAUAGAACAUGCUAGGAACAAUCCUAACUAUAUUGUAGUGCAACCCUCAUUGUCUCUCUACCAAGAGGACAUCUCUGCCUCGCACCUCCACCAUACAUGCAUAGGUGCAACAUGCUUGAUUCUUUUUAUUGACAAGGCUAGGGAGUUUUAAAUGUAGAACACAUAAGCAUUAAUGAUCAGGUUAAUCUAAAAAGCCUAAUGGACACUUAUUAUUUUAUCACCAAGAGAAGCUAAGCUCAAAACUUGUGAAACUUCAUUUCAAGUUUAUAUACAAUCAAAAGUAAUGAGCUUUUGGUGAGAUUAAGUUGCAAUUUGUAUUAAACUUGGUGCAAACUUGAAGACCCACAAGAAUUGAACCAUUGAUAGCAAAGGAAACAAAAGCUGCAGUUAGCCGGUAGUUUCCAUAGUGCAAAUCAAUCCACAACAGCAUAUGCUCUACUCCUCACAUGUUUAUAGGAUUAAUGCUUAAGAGAAGCUUAAUGACAAAAAACAGAGAAUUUCCCUAGUAUUUUGCUUUUAGAAACAAAGAUUAGAACUGAGAGUGCAGAUUAAACAUGGCAAUCACUUUGCAUCAGACUGUAGUAAAUGGGGACUAAUUAUCACAUGACUUCCUAAUGGAAACUCCACUCAGGACCUUCAUGUUGCCCUCAAGCGCAUAUGAGCAUCGAUGCCUAGCAAAUUUUGCAGCAAUAAUAAAAACCAUGACUAUACAUGAGUGAAACCAAAGCUUUGAAAGAGAUUUAUCUGAUAUUUGAGGGCAUAUUUACUUGAUGUUUCAUGUCAUCCAUUUCUGAUGGUGCAUACGAGUUUCCAGAAUACAACUAGUUUUCCCAACAUCUCUGAUGGCAUGUGUCAAAACAGGUUAUUUAGGGUCUGCCCAACUCGAUUUUUGGUAUAUGUUGAUCUUGAGGUACAGAAGGCUGUGGAAGAAUUUCUUGAUACAAAAAUAUAGAAAACUAAUGUAAUUCAAAAAACAAAGCACAGCACAUAGAAGCAACAUUUUGUGGAAAUGUUGAUGGAAGACUAAAAGUUCCAUGAAGAUAUUUUUCGUCAUCUUGGUUCUUUUAUGCAAAAAAUGGUAAGAGAUACAUGAGAACGCCCCAAAUAUGGUUAAAGUAGAGAUGCACCUGUUGAAAAUGAGAUCAUCAAAAAACUAUGAAGGCUGUACAUAGCAACAACCCCCUAAUUUCUUCCCUUCGUUCUGCCCUCCUAAAUUCUCAAUUUUGAUCCACCUCUUGGUUCAAAAGGUGUUGAUCAUAACAUCACCUCCUAGUUGGUUCAAAAGAUCAUGACGAACAAAUACAGACUAGUAAUUUAAUUGCCCUGCAAUGCAAUUUAGCACCCUAGCUUUCCUACUACUAUCAAAGUUAGUGUGACUCUGUGCACAGGCAAAUAACCUCCCGAGCAUCUGAUACUAAAUUCAGGCAAUCAGAUAUAGUGGUUCAUGAAAAGUGUGGGUUCUCAGCACAGAUGGCCUGCUAUAUACUUUGCGCACAUAGAGUUUAGAGUGAAAUUCUAAACACAGGGUUGUGUCUCUCUAUAUGCAUGCAUGUGCAGAGAGGCACUCAUGGGAUUUUGGAGAGUACUUAAAUUUUAGCUUGUUGAGUCUGAGAAACCAACCUACUGCUGGAAGCCUUGUCAACAUUUGUACAAGAAUGGCAGCCACAUCAGCAGCAUCGUAUGAUCUCUCCCCAAUGUCAUCACAUAUUGCAAGCUUGAUUGCAGCUGCCUGGUCCCUAAUUCGCAUUGGUAAUAUGCCGGGGGAGUCCAAGAACUCUAAAUCUUUCCCAAAACGGACCCAUCUGUUCAAAGAUACGUGAGAGCAAUAGUACUGAAUCAAAAGCUUACAAUUUAUUUUCCAUGCAGUUAAACAUGAAAGAUUUACAAAGGAACAUAGAGGAAAUUGGUUUAUACAUAGUGAAAUGAUAAUAAUGCCUACUUCUCUAAGAGAGAAAAGAACAAGGUUCUAAGAGGAACUUACUUCAGUUGUCUUGUGACACCUGGCCUGGGAGCUGCUGGACACAUUCGCCGCCUCAAUAAACGGUUAAUUAGAGAAGAUUUUCCUACAUUUGGAUAUCCAACUAUUCCAGCUCGGACCUGUAACAGAAUAGAAAAAUAAAAUAUGGAUAAUAGAAUUGAAAAAGCAACUGCAAUUCUAAAAUUUAUGAUGAAACUGACACGGUUUCAAUGAAUACAUUAUUAAUGAGACAUUUUAUGGAACUGGACCUGUAGCAGAAUUAAGAAAACAUUCACAUAAUUGCAGUCAAGAACAUAUUGUCCAUUCCUGAAUUGAAAGACAAAAAAAUAGGCAAAAUCUCUGACAAUUGCCAUGAAUAUAUCAUUAAUGCAUUCACAAAGGGGCAAAAAACACCAAGAAUUAUUUUGGAUAGUUGAGGUGUAAUAGAAUAUUACAAAUCUGAACUAUUGCUUUUUGAAUGCUGAUAUAAGGUGUUAUUUAGAGCAAAUUGAGUGGGUUGGAUGAAAAUAUUAUUUGGCAUGCUGGAAAAGAAAAAGGGGCAGCAUUGCUCAUAGGGUUUUUUAUGGUAAGAAGAAUGAUGUGCCGGAAAACUGCAACAUGUAUAACAACUACUCCAAAAAAUUCAUCAUCAGAUCCUCUCCAGUAUAUAAUAAAGACAAAAUAAGGUUAUAGGAACAUUAAAAUCUUGCAAAAUGUCAUUGAUGACAGGCAACUGCUUUAAUAGAUAGCUUACUGGGUUAUCUAGAUGGCCCGCCCAUGCACCCGCCUUAACAUCUUGUAUUAUGUUUGAGUAUAAAAGGUGAGAGCAAUUUAUAGAUUUGCCAAGUUGAUACUUACAAUUGAUUUACUAAAUCUUAUUUAAGAUGUUAUAUUUCAUUUGUUGGAUGACAAGAAUUUUUUAGGUUUCUCCACCUGUUUGUAGCUUGCAGGCGCUUUUAAAACAGUGUUGACUGAUAAUUGAAGUGUCGAAUGACAAAAAAAAAAAACAUUCCAGACUUUGACUCCUGAUCUUCACUGGUUGUUGCCCAAAAAAACACAACAGACUAAUAUGAUAAUAGACAGAUUGUUAUCUAAAUACAGAUUUCGAUAUAGACUUGUGAUGCUGACAAAGUUUUAUAGCUGGUAGAAGCAACUAUAGGCAUCUCAACCUUACCAAUCUUUGAUCCCAAAGAUCUUCUUCCUUGGUGAAAUAAAGAGAGUGGUGAAUAACAUUCCCCUUGAAACUAUCAAUGAAAUAGUUGAAUGAGGAGGCUUCAUCCUCAAAAGAAAGCCAUAUCCGCUCUCUCCACAGGGAACACAUCACAAUAUGUGAUAUCAUAUUUCAAAAAUAAUUAACCAUAACCCCUUGCCACACAACAAAGUAAUCAACAAUAUUGUUUGAGAAGUUUCAAAAGACUUCUAAUCAAGGUACGCAUACCGAGCCCCAUACCAUUGCCACCCUAUUACUUAUCGAUAUGCCUAGUACAAGGGCCAGUUUGGCGUACCAAGUGUUGGUACACCUCCCAUACUGCGUACCAGUAUGGAACCGGUAAAGUAUGAUAAUUUUUUCAUUUUAUGAGAUCACAAUUAUGAUAAUGAUUACUUAAUAAUUUUUUCAUUACAUUGUCCAAUAAAGAGAAUCUCACUAAGUGAAGCCAAACGACACAAAAAAUAAUUAAAAAAAGAAACAAAGAAGAAAGAAAUAAGACAAAAGGAAAAGUAGUCAUGCAGGGGAAGGUGAGGAACCAUAUCCUCCAUCUCAUCAUCAAAGGCAAAAAUUAAAUAUUUAACUAAAAANNNNNNNNNNNNNNNNNNNNNNNNNNNNNNNNNNNNNNNNNNNNNNNNNNNNNNNNNNNNNNNNNNNNNNNNNNNNNNNNNNNNNNNNNNNNNNNNNNNNNNNNNNNNNNNNNNNNNNNNNNNNNNNNNNNNNNNNNNNNNNNNNNNNNNNNNNNNNNNNNNNNNNNNNNNNNNNNNNNNNNNNNNNNNNNNNNNNNNNNNNNNNNNNNNNNNNNNNNNNNNNNNNNNNNNNNNNNNNNNNNNNNNNNNNNNNNNNNNNNNNNNNNNNNNNNNNNNNNNNNNNNNNNNNNNNNNNNNNNNNNNNNNNNNNNNNNNNNNNNNNNNNNNNNNNNNNNNNNNNNNNNNNNNUCCAGAGCAUAGUCAUCCACUACUCCCAACUAAAGGAAUAUAAGCAUUAUAGGAAGUCUUCAAGCUAGACACUCGCACCCUUGCAAUUCCAUAAUAUUUCUCAUUAGCCUUACCAACAUCUCAACCAUUUAUCAUCGUAAAGAACUCAACAAUCAAUGGUUAAAAUUAUAUUCCCUUGUAAUUCCAUAAUAUUUCUUAUUAGCCCUACCAAACAUCUCUACCAUUUAUCAUGGUAAAGAAUUCAACAAUCAGUGGUUAAAAUUAUAUACUAAAAAGAAAGUGACUUUCUGUAAGAUAUUUCUACUUAGCUUAUAAAUUGCAUAUCCAAUCCAUACUUCAAUCCACAUUGUUGUCGUCAUAACAUUUCCUCGUCACCCUCCAUCUUAGAACACCAUGAUGCACUUGACAUGACAAGGGCUCUUCAAACACAACUGCCAACACUCCCAUGACAACCCGCAAGACGUAAUCGCUUUCAUGAAUUUCGAACUGUAUAUAAUUAUAGUUUACAAAUCAUAAAAAGUUGAUCUAUGUAAUCACAUAUGUUACGAAUUCAACUAGUAUGAUUGUUACAUGUAAGGGGUUAUAGCUUAUUAUAAUUGUACAUAUUAGUAAUAGACCUAUUAGUUAAGUAUAUCGACCAAAACUUUCAACAUUUUCUCCUAUAUAAACAUGAAUUUCAGAGUCUGGAAUCAUCUUCACGAGUCCUUUCUGAUAGUUUUGGUGUGCAAUCCAUGUGAGCACACAAUGGUUGCUCUCAAAGUUAAGGACCCUUGCAAUAGUCACAGCUAAAAACUCUGACAUGUUCUUUUGCAUGCCUGUGUUGGGAUGUCUAGGUGACAGGAACAUCUGGUCGUAUUGUCUUGAUAAUUGACAAGACGAAAUGGAGUAUCCAAGGAGUGGAUUGCCGGUGUUCUCUUUGGGUUUCUUGGUUCAAAUGGCAAGUUUUGGGACUUUUUUUUAUGUUUUAAACUGUACCUCGUGGUAUUCUUUUUAUUUUUCUCUAGGUUUUGCUUUUCAACAUCAUUCAUGGUAUAAGAACACUAAUUCAAAUGCACAAGCAUGCCCCACAUGCACAUGUAGCCAUUCAAGAACACAUGUUCUGCUUGAAGAAAAUUGGAAGAAUGAAGAAAUAUAGGAAAAGAUGUCCAAUGAAGAUUCAGAAAAUUCAUUACAGGACGAGGUAGGAGUCCCUUAGCUCUACGUUUCGUAUUCACGCCCGUGGCUAAUAACUUUGCAAGCCUUCCAAGUUUCAUAGUACCCUGCAAUGGCACCAAAUAUCUAACAUAUGACUGUGAAACCCCUAACAACCUACCAUAAGUUGGUCAAGUAUUUGGGUUUGGGAGAUACCAUUCCAAGCUGCCCAUUAGCAAAAACAACUUUUAUGCCCUGCCUUGUGAAGAAAUUAGCCCAUGAAUUUCUGUCAGCAGUGGAUAUCAUGUCUUCCCUAUUUAGAACUAGAAUUUUUUUCCGAUUGCCAAGCCAGGAAUCCAUCUGCUCAGACAAAACACCUUUAGGAAUUAUUUCUUCAAGUUUGCUUUUCAUGAAGCAAAUAUUAGAGCAUCACCUGUGGAUGGCUGGUAGCCAUAGGAAUCCUGGCAUCACGAACUUCUAUGACAACAUCCAUUAACUUUAGUUGUUCUUUCAACUCUUUUUCUGCUUUUGCAAUAUGACCAGGAUACCACUGCAGGAUGCCAAAGUUCAAAGUUACGAAGAUUGAAUGCUUAGCAAUUGCAGAAUAUUACAACAUUCAAUUCCAAGCCAUAAUUAGCUAUUGAAUUUCAUGCUGCAAAAUAUCCCAUCACAGAUCACUUCUGCAAAUCCACACCUCAUAUGUACCUGCACAGGACGUAAUGACCUUGUCCAGUGAUACACAUCAGCAUCCAAACUUUCCCAAUCACCUUCUUCAUGGAAGCUCUCAUUCACAUAUUUAGAAAGGUUGAUUUUCUCUUUCUGGGGCCAAUGUAGUGAUGUUCCACCAGCAAUCUGCAACAUUUCUUUUUAAAAUUCCUAGCAUUUUAUCCAAUAUGCAUGUACUAUGAAUAAAACUAACAAGCUUUGUACCAUUUAGCAAUCUUUCCAAGAUUACAAGAACUAAAUCCCAUGUAAAUAUUGUUUGUUGAGAAUGAAAUCUGAAAAUAAUGGCAAUUAACAGCUGAAUUUUGCUGUGCAAAGGUAAGUCGGCAAUUCAAGGCCAGAAUUAAUGUAUGAAAGAUCUGAACUGAAAAUUGAGAAUAAACCCUAUCACUUAAUAAAAUAUUUUCAAAUAUACAGUCGCCAUGAGAAACAAACCUCAUAACUUCGAUAAGAGGUUGGUUUUGAGGCAUGUACUCAGCAAUUGGUGAUUAUAAAUGGAGAAAUCCUCCAAAUGAAAAGCAUGAAAGGAACUAUGACAAAAUGCUUGAACCAUUCUCAGCAAAGAGAAUGAGGGUAAGGUACUAAUGUGAGCACAAAGUGCCAGGGGGUUAAGGAAUCACCCUCAGGAUUUUCUGCAAUCCAACAUGAGAAAAUCAUUUUGCUUCAAAUCAAAAGCAAAUGCAUCAUUCUUUUGUAUUUAAGGUUUCUCUUGUAUAUAAAGCCAUAUAACAACUCCUAAACCAGAAAGAAUACUUAUCAGACACUUCCCAACCAAAAUCGUACGAAGUAGGAUUCUUAGUUCAACCUGAAAACUAGUAAAAAAUUUUAUCAAUUUGACUGAGAUUCCUUUCUAAUCUGAUACUGAAAAUUAAGGCCUACAUUUUGGCGUCAUAAUGACCGAUUUACUGAAAAUUGAAACAUAAAAUUAUCAGACCACAAGGUCAGUUCUAAAACAAUUCCUUACAUGCCUCAAACAUGCAUGUAUAGCUCAAGUCAUGCCUCCAAAAAUAUAGCAGACUUUGAGCUGGAAAUCACCCAUGUGCACUGAUAUCUUAUAACUAGUUGGUUCCUGAUUUGCAUUAGGCAGAAAACAGCCUUUCUCUAUCUUUAGCACACUUAAAUAUGCCCAUGCACAGCGCAUUUUUCAGUAAUGCAAACUUAUUACAGAAAGCAACAUCAAAUAAAAUUAAAAGCUAAUCUGACUUGGAUCAUAUUCAGAAAACAUUUAGUUCUGAAUCAUAUAUUCAUGUUCUUUAAUAACAUAAAGAAACCAAACUGCUUUAACAAUUUAAGCAAGCCUACAAGCAACUAAAUGAACAAAAUCACCGGCUGACACUUAUUACCAGCACCAUUUGCAUUUGUCAGCAUUGCUGAGCCAUAAAGCAGCGGUCUUUGAAAACACUAGUCAAUUGCGUACAUGAGAGGCUUGGGACUUCAAGGUAUAGAAAUCUUCUGAUCAUUUAACCGGCAAGUUGAUUGCUUUCUGUAAUAACUCAUAUUCCUAUUAAUCAAAUGCAAUCCCACGACCUCCUGAUUGUAGAUAAUAAUUAACAAUUCCUUGUUGAAUAGAUAAAUAAAAUGGUUUUGAAUGACCAUUCCUGUACCAAUACUAAGCACCAGUCCUCCGUCAAUUACGUUUAUGCUUUCCGCUAGAGCAAGAACAAGGUCUAGCAAAAGCAUUUGAAUAGAAGCAUAGAAGUAGCUCGCAAAAAUAACCAAAAGAACAAGGAAGAAGAACUUAUAAGACGAAGGGGUUUCAAGAAUGGGAGAGAUGUCGAAAGACGAAGCAAAAGAAACCCUAGAAAUCUGGGUGGUCACUCACCGCGUUUGAGACAGAGAGUCUGGGAGCCACCGAACGGAGGGACAGGGUCCUGAAGCGCCGAGUUGGGGAGAGGGAGGGCCGAGGGUGGGGCAAAGGGGCUAAAGACGCCAUGGGAGAUCUUACAGAGAGAGGGAGAGACAAGGAGAGGUGAGGCGGGCUGGUUAAUCCGCAAAAGGUGCGAGUUUUCGAUGAAUUUUGGAAGUUGGAUCCAUUUCUAUUUCACCAUCUCCUCGAACAACGUCCCUAAACAACGGCCCUUUUUCCCUGACAAGCGAUGAGAGGAGGAAAAAAAAAAGGACUUUUAAGGCAACGGAUAUGAGCUUUUAGGGAUAAGAAAAAAUUAUACUUUGACAUUAAUUUAUAUAGAAAUAAAUAGAUAUAAUUCUUAAUUUUUAUUGGGAAAAACUUGUAUUGUUGCAGUUAUUCUUUGUGUGUUUGAAUACUGCAAGAUAAAAAAUGUUGUUUGGAUGUUCCUUAGUAUGUACCAAGUGGAUGAAAAAUGUGAUUUUUAUGAAAGUUUAACUUUCAAAUCUCUAUCAUUAUAUAAUAUCAUAUUAUAUAAUAUAAUAAUGUAUUAAAAUAUUAUAUUAUAUAUUAUAUAUAGAAUAUUUAUUAUGAUUUUAUAUUAUACAUUAUAAUAUAGUAGUACAGCACAAUAUUCUGAUAUAUUGUAUAUUUAAUAUUAUAGCAUAUAUAUUAUCAUAUGUUUAUGUUAUAAUAAUUAUAUUAUCCUAUAAUAAUAUUAUAAUAUAUCAUAUGAUAUUAUAAUACUUUAUUAUAUAAUACUAUAGUAUUAUAUUAUUUUUAUAUUAUUGUAUAUAAUAUAUUAUUAAAAGUAAAGAUGUAUUCUUUUUAGAUUGUUAGAUAGAAUAUUCUUAGUUCCUUAGUUCACAAAUAUCUAUAAAAAUAAUAAAAUGAACAAGCUAGUAUUUAAUUAUUUUUGCGGUUUUAUGGGCAUGCUCUCUUUCUUUUCUAAUCAAAUUAGAUCCAUUUAAAAAAAAUAACUAAAAAUCUUAAAUAAAUUCAAAUUUUCUAACUAAAAUAAUAAAAAAUAAUAAAUAAUUAAAAUUCUAAAUAAAUUAGACUCUAUGGUCUCUCUUCGCUCCCCUUUCCCUGCUACGAAUUUCAGUAGUUGGAACUUUCAGUUAUCUUGGUAGAAAUAUAAUAUUUGUAUUCUCAUCUCAACAAAUUAUUUUUUGGAAUCAUGAUGUCUUUCUACAGAUCGCAAGUCUAUUCAUUAGCUCCUAUUUAUGGUGCAUAUGAAAUGUAGCCAGUGGUUGUGACCGAUCCUGCCCCAACCCCUCUCCUCUUUCUCUCCUCCUCUCUCCUUCACAUCCUUCCCCAACUCUCUAUAUCUCUUUCCUCCCCCCCUAAUUACUCCUUUUUCCAUCCAACCCCCUACCCCAUGGCCCUCUAUAUCCUCAUCCUUCCUUCCCUACGUGCCCCUCCCUCCCUCUCUCUCCCCCGACACCCUUAGCCUCUCUCGCUCUCCUAUCUUCCAAGGCCCAAUGCCAGCUUCGAUCAACUUGAGACGAUCUAUUUUAAGGGUGUAAUACUCAUUUGCCAAGAAGAGUGCUGUUAAACAAAAAAUUGGGAGCAGGCAGUUUCCAUAUGUUGGAACAACUCUCAAUUAUGGUUCUUCCAAUUCUGCCAUAUAAUACAACAAAUUUUCAAUGGAUUUAAGAUUGAAAGUAUUAACAACAUUAACCUAAUCCAAGAUAUUCAAGUGUAGGCUAUAGCUUCCAAAUAAGAUUUUCAUACUAACCAAGCUUUUUUGUCGGAAAAUAAAUAAUGGUUCCAGUCUUCAUUAGGUGCAAAACAUUGUGGACAAAAAGGUUGAUUAAUGCCCCUAUUAUAAAGAGUAGUAGAACAAGGCACUUCUAUCAAGAGCAACUCUCCAGAGAAAUGACUGAUUUAACCCUUCAAUGCAUNNNNNNNNNNNNNNNNNNNNNNNNNNNNNNNNNNNNNNNNNNNNNNNNNNNNNNNNNNNNNNNNNNNNNNNNNNNNNNNNNNNNNNNNNNNNNNNNNNNNNNNNNNNNNNNNNNNNNNNNNNNNNNNNNNNNNNNNNNNNNNNNNNNNNNNNNNNNNNNNNNNNNNNNNNNNNNNNNNNNNNNNNNNNNNNNNNNNNNNNNNNNNNNNNNNNNNNNNNNNNNNNNNNNNNNNNNNNNNNNNNNNNNNNNNNNNNNNNNNNNNNNNNNNNNNNNNNNNNNNNNNNNNNNNNNNNNNNNNNNNNNNNNNNNNNNNNNNNNNNNNNNNNNNNNNNNNNNNNNNNNNNNNNNCUUAAUGUGGGCUAUGUUGUUGCGCGAGGCUCCGGCCAAAACGCCGUCCCCGCAACAGAUUGGCGCGCCAGGUAAGGGCGCCUCCUCCCUCCAUUGACUACCCUUCAGGACUGUGGAGGCCCCCGGCGUUAAAAACCGGCAAGGAACCUUCCCGCUGGGGGGCUAUGUUGUGGGGAGGGGAGGGGGCCUUGAAUUUAGUCCCACAUCGACUAGUAACGGAAAGGUUCCAUGCCUUAAAUGGGGGGUGGAAAUCCUUUCCUCUCGAGGCGCCUUUUGACGGGCAAACCCGUGAGGGCACCAGUCUCCCCCCAUCAACGUGGUCCUCUUUCUCUGCUAGCUUAAUGUGGGCUAUGUUGUUGCGCGAGGCUCUGGCCAAAGCGCCGUCCCCGCAACAAGUUCUUUUUUUUUCUGAUAAAUUGGAGGAGGAAAUCAUGCUUCCCCCAUUUAUGAAUCAUAACAAGCGAACAUCGUCCUGAUCACGUAUGAAUCAGUGAUGGCUACUCUUAAAGACGAGUUCCAAAGCAAUCACCAACAAUUUCAGUAAUUUUUGGUAAAAACGGUCGAUAACAACUAUCUAUCGUUGCUCAUCCAACGUUCUGAAACAAUUAUUUUACCAAUCAAGUAGCAUAAAUAUUUGCAACAAGUUCAAUAACUGAUCAUUAAUGCCAAACUGAAAAUCUCAAAUUCAUGUAAAUGUUUCACUCAGGUUGGGAGCACAAUGAUAGCUAGAUCUUGGUGCAGGUUUCACCUGUACAGGAUACUUCUGCAACACGAGGUGAUUUUGCAGACGCUAAUAGGAGCUUGAAAACUAUAGAAAUUGUUAUUCACUCGAACUAUAGAAAAUUCUACGACUUGGACUGUAGAGAAAAAAGAGUGGGAAGUGACAUCUUGUCAACCUCUCCCUCAAAAAGUUCAAAAAAAAAAAAAUCUUGUCAUCAGCUUCUCUGGCCACACGCUAGAUCUUACAGCAUGAGUUUCCGGAUUUAUUGCAUGUAAAUUGUAGCAUUGGCAAUCUUGGGAAUUUGCAGUGCACAUGUUCUUUGCUUGGAAGCCCAGCUCUUCGUCAACACGGCGAGCAUUUUUUGAGGCUGAGAUCUGAACCGAAGACCCCAACAACACAAGAAAGGCUAUGUGGAGACGCUUCCUUCACCUUGCCAUUUUUUUCUACGGUUUGUCCUCCGUCGUCUUUGAAAGAGCCCCUCGGGUCGUUGAAUCAGUCUCCCAUGCCUCGCUUUCACACGGCAUCCUUUUCCUAAAGCAAAUGUGGUGGAAUAGAGGCCGCAAGCGAAUGAAGUACGAGUCUUUGCCAUUAAAAACGCAGGAAAGAUUAUUCCCAUAGUCAAAAGUGAAGCACUAUGGCUCUAUAAUAAUUAUUUUUUUCUUUCCCUUCAAACCCAGCACGGUUUCCAAUUUCUAGCCUAGAUUAGUUCCAAGAUUCUUCUAUAUGUGGCCAGUGGGCUGCAACUGUUCGUCUGAUUUGAUCUUAGUCUAUCACUUGGCCUGAGACACUGGGAGGAAAAGACUGAAAUUGUCCCCAAAUAAAUAAACUAUGUAUUAGUUUGCUAUCUACCCAAAUAAAAAGUAGGAAUUAAUGCGGACAUAUAUGUUUCAAUACAGACACAUGCAAGAACGCUUGAUCUAGUCCUCCAUUUUCUUUCUUGUAUUGAUCAGUGGCAGGGGAAAAAACAUGCAAGAAUAUUAUUAAUGUUGUUAGGAUUAUUAUUAAAUAAACUUAUGGCCCCUUCUCUUGUUGGAGUGGGGUGGUGGUGCUUCCACAAAUAUUAAUGUUGUUAGGAAGAUCUCUUAGCCACGUUCAAAUGGUCCUUCGCAUGUAAGGCAAAAGAGAUAAAAAGAUUAACAUGUCAACACGCGAUUGGAGCUUGCUGUUGAAUCCUUCCCUUAUACCAUACGUUUGAAGAUCCUGCGAAUCUAAAUCUAACAACCAGGAGCACGGAAGAAAAAAAAAAGAAAGCAACCGAAGUCUAGUCGCAUGAACCAUCCUUUUUAAUUCACCCUUCUGCCCUCACCCGCCCCCACCAACAUCCCAACUGUUCUCUCCACAAACACCUACAAAAGCCCAGAGUCACUCUCCCACCCCCAAGUCAAUCUCCAUUUGUAAUUCACUUUAGAGAGGAAAGCUAGCCACGCCAAAUGGCCAAACUCCUCCUCCUCCUCCUCCUCCUGACCACCACCACCACCACCACCUUGUUGGCCGAACAACCGUAUAGCUUCAUCCAAAGCCAAAAAACAGCCCCAAAACCCCGCCACGAGAAGCUCACCCACCUGCACUUCUUCUGGCAUGACGUAUUAAACGGUCCCAAUCCGACCGCCGUGCCGGUGGCGCAGGCUGCAACAACGAGCACAUCAAGCAGCUCCUUCGGCCUGGUGAACGUGAUCGACGACCCGCUGACGGAAGGCCCAGAGAUGGCAUCCAAGCUCGUCGGCCGGGCGCAGGGACUCUACGCGUCGGCCGCGCAGGAGGGUUUAGGCCUGCUGAUGGCCAUGAACUUCGCUUUCAUGGAUGGCAAGUACAACGGCAGCACGAUCACCAUUCUCGGCCGCAACGAGGUGUUCACGGCGGUGAGGGAGAUGCCGGUGAUCGGCGGCAGCGGGCUCUUCCGCCUGGCCCGCGGCUACGUCCAGGCCAAGACCCACAAUUUGGACAUGAAGUCCGGGAAUGCGGUGGUUGAGUACAAUUGCUUUGUCUUCCAUUAUUGAGCUUAUCUGAUGUGCAUCCACUUUUCCUUCUUUCUUCCAGUAUUCUGGGUCCGCUUGUGUCGGGCGGUAGCCCCACACCUUUUUAUUAGCACGCUAUUGUCCUUAGGCGGCUAGCCUAAGAUUAUUCCUCUUUCGAAUAAGAAAAGUACGUAUUGUGAAUUGCCGGUUGGUUGAUAAAUCUUAAAAUUAACCUGUUGCUGAUGUAAAUUAUUAGGUGGUUGAGGCAGAAAUCGCCUAUUUAAUCUAGAACGUUCUAGUGUUCUCAUCCUCACGUGCCAGCGCAUCUUAUUCCGGGUCUCUCAUUUGUGCGAGCCUAAAAUACGACACCAACCACCAAUCUUGUUCGUCCUCCGCUCCACUUUCAGAACCAGUGAUGAUUAAAUUAUAGAAACGUAGCCAGGAUCUAGGAAAAGAGAGCUUACCUAAUGGUCAUCUUGGUACACCAUCUGCAACUGCAUCGAGAGUUCGAGAAUGUAACUUGUAAGCCAACCUCCUCACCCAAAUCAUUUGAUUUUUCACGGGAACGUUGACUUAGAAGCUGGUCUGUUCGCUCUGAAAAAGUGAUAUAUCUGAAUUGAUAAUUAUUUGGCUGGAGUUUGAUGCCUGAAAUUGUCGGGAUCAUUUCAUCGUACCUCCAACUUGCCUGGGAGAGAAAUCAGACUAAUAAGAUAUCCAGCCAGGGCCAGAAGAACAUUGCUACCGUUGAAACACGCCGGAAUAUUAAUGGCCCAGAUGAUCUCGUUCAGACCUGUCGUUGACCUUUCUAUGUUGUUCCCACCGACAACCACGACGGCUGGAAGCCUGGCAGAGCAUCAGAGUGGGGAAAUCUCUUGCACAAAAUAACGAUGAAGCUAUCGCUAACGUCCACAAGCACCUUGAGGGAAUUCAAAAUCACAGAAUUCACAUAACAGAAGCGAACUGAAAAUGGUGCCGCAAAAGUACCGGCGAUAAGGCUUUCAAAACCAGCAAUCAGUUUACUGUUUACUGGUGCGGAGUUGGAGAUGAAAACCGGGAUCACUCAAAUAAAGAAUGCCGUUUAAUUACAUAUGCACGCUGCCAGAAGAGAGCCCAUACAGGCAAUACUUCAUCGCCAGUACAAAUUGCUAAUAACUCAAUAGGAUUUACGAUCCCUAAAAGCAUAUUUCCAUCUGAAUUGGAGGACUGUGGAGUAAUGUCUGGAGGAACAAAUAUAUCUGCUUGCAAAUAUACAAAGCCAACAAAUGCUCCUAUAGAUAAGGUGGAUUAUAAGACAGCAGAAAACAAGAAUGAAGGGCCCAAGACAGAACCUGUCCAUCAACGAGACCCACACAACCUUGAACCACGCCAACAAAUCCUUCAGACUAUGGUAAAACAACAAAACAUGCACUACAACGUAAAAGACUGACUGCACCAGUAAAGCUCUACAACCAAGGUCCUAUUCAAAAUCUUCAGUGUCCGCUCAUCAUUGGAGAUAAAAGACAUGAUCAUCAAAAAUGUAGGUAGGUGGAAUAGUACAACCAUGUAACUAACAAAAAUCAGUUCACACUGUCAAUUAUUCAAAAGCAAACAUGAUGCAGUUUGGAGCAUAAUAAGAACUUUAAGAGGUUUCACAUUAGAGGACACUGCAACAUAACUCUGAACAACUCUUUUAUGACCCGGAUGACUUCAACAUGGGCAUUUCAACCUCAGUACCUGUGGGCUAGCUUCUCCUUCUCCAGAUAAUACUGAACAUAACUGCAUGUGCAGAUAACUUUUUAGACAAGGAUUUUAGUGCACCAAUAAAAAAGCUGUCAUUAAUCAGCUCAAGACUUCAUUACAGUGGAAAAAACACCUUUCUGGAACAGAAUGAAUAAAUUCUUAUUUCAAGAAAGGAAAAAUGAAGACUGAAAUUGAAUACAGGCAACCUGACACUAAUAUCGAGCUAGUAUAUGUUAAUAAUAACAUUUUAAAAUAAACAAGAAUUAUCAAGUUCAGCUUUCUUUCUUCAUAUGAUCUGCAAAAACCAUAUAUAUAAGCUACUGAAAGAAAGAAAUAUUGCAGCAAAUAUGGGAAGACAAAGCAUGACAUCUGCAGAACACCCAUGUUUCCAGUCUUAGCUCUUGCAUCAGGUUACACUGCCCUUGGGGCGGUUGUGAUUAAAAGCGACUUUACAUGGAGCGUUAAUAGUUUCUAUAACUAUCUCACUUCCUCCAAUAUCCAUAUCGCAUAGACACAGUCGUUUUUAUCUGCUGGACACGAUUUUUUGUGGAAGAAACUUGCCCUUGGUGUAGUCUACUCCAGCUUGAUUCUCUCCUUACUGUUUCUCAGAAAGGGGUGGAACUCAAAGCCAGGGCAUUAUUCAGAAUUUAACACAAAAAGGAGGAGGUUGAAAUAUAUAUAUCCAUGGGACCACAGCCUAAACUUUCAACCCUCAACCUCAUAUCCAUGAAGUUACAGUUACCUCCAAAAAACCACCCUAGUAUAAAAAGAUGGUGCUAGAUAUGAUUUCAACAGGCACAUGAUGAAACUCUCCAGGCUAAUGCAUGCACUCCCAAUAGAAGUCACAUCACCCUACUCAAAAAGCAAUUCUCCACAUAAAGCACCCAUUCAAUGUUUACACAAUCAAAAAGCAAUCACGAGUAAAAUGCUCAGUUGAACAUUUUUUUUGCAGGCAGUUACAACUGAUCACGAGUAAAAUCCUCAGUUGGUUUUUUGCACGAGUAAAUUCUCCACAUAAAGCACCCUCUGAUCACCAUCUUCUCUCAUCCUACCAAAAACCAAGCAAAGAAGUUCUUUCACAUGCAAUCUUAAGACAUAUCAGCAAUUCCAUUUUACAACUUCUAAAGACCAUCACCACUUAACAUCAGCAUCGCCGCCGUCGUCGUCGUCGUCGUCAUCAUCAUCAACAAAAAAAAUCCUCCACAAUACUGUCCAUCAGUUUGAUUGUUGUUCAAAUCAUAUGAUACACAAUCCAAAUCUUGCAAUCCAGAUUAAAAUGGCCCUAAAACAAUCUGGAUCUUCUCCUUGAUUGGAAUCAGCUAGGAUGACAGGUCCAGAACCAUAGCAUGGACAAUAGGGCCCUUUCAAUCAUAAGAUCCAACUUGAUCCUGCUAUUUACAUGUUAAAUCAUGCAGACUUUCAUUUUUAUAAUUUAUUUGACUAUAUGGAUUUCAAAAUUACGUAUCAUCCGUAAGUCUUAGCUCUUGAGUAGUAAAAUCAAAAGGCCUAUUGUUCAAGAUCAUAGAGUUGAAAAUAAAAUGCAAAUUUUCAUAUUUUUGCAACCAUAUUUUAAAAUUUUUGUCCUUUUUCCUAAAACACUUGAGCUAAUAGGAUAAUUAAAUUAAUAGGUAAUGUACAAAUACCAAACACAAUAUUUAUUUCAUUACAAAAGCUAAGAAUGAAUUUAUGAUGGUGGAAACUACACUUCUUAUAUGUAUGGCUUUUCAUUCCCCAUUCAUCUACUCUGUAUUUGACUCAUAUUGUCACAUCUCUUUUAUAUUUAGUUUUAAAAUAUAAAAAACAAACUCAUCAUAUGCAAUCCAACCCAUGAGUCGAUCCAAUCUAACCCACUUUAUGAUUUAUGACUCGUUAUGACCUCACAGUUGUCAAGAGGCCAAGGCACCAUUAGGACAAUGGAACACCCAUGUCACCCAAGGCACUAGACACCAAAUACAUCUCACCUUGAGAAAGUUCAAGAAAAUGCAUUAGAAAUAAAUAUAAUUUGUAUAAAAAAAACGUUAUCAAAAGCAAUACAAACAUCAUCAGAUUAACUAUUCAAGUCCCAACAUCCUCUUCACGAUCACUUUAAACAUCAAAUGUCAUGUUCGACAUCUUUCAAGAUAUGGUAUCAAAGUACCACUUCUGAUAAUAUGUUUUUAAACAAAAGUGAGCAAAAAUAAACUACUCGACAUCCUGAAGUAGCUUCAGGAUUCAAACAUGACAGCAAAAUACCACUUCCAAAAACAUGGUUGAUGUUUCUAGACCACACAUAACACAAAAAAGUAAAUCAGUAAACAUCUGCGAAUAGCCCUUUAUUUAUAAGGACUCUAAUAGACCAAAAUAACCCAGAAAAUAAAGCUAACAAAACUCUAAAAAAUAAGCAAAGGAGGGAUAGGAAGAAUAAUGAUCGACAUUGGAGAGGAGUAGCCUCAAAGCCUCUCAUUUUGUCUUGAACAUUGGCUUAUAUGUAGCCUCAGCAAACUUACCAUGCUUCUGACCAUGAAGGCACUCUAGGGUUUCCUCACAUCACUUAAGUGCUUAGGUGAGUGCCUGAAGCAUUUUCCAUCACCACCUUCUGAAACGUCUUACUAAACACAUUAGGUACAAAAAUAGCAAGAAAGAAAUAACUUGGGUCGUCUUGCUCCCAACCUUACUUGCUACCGAAGCAUCUACUAAAGAAUAUAUAAAUGAAAAAAAAAUAAUAUAAAUGAAAAGAAAAUAAUACAAAUAUGCACCAUGUAUCCAGCAAAAUUUGUACUUUCAAUACCUAUCAUCACCAUUAAUUUAUUUUUUUUCCAUAUAAAACUUAUAAAAAGAAUCCACGUGUAUGACAAACAAAGGUGCCCACAACCUACUAAAAAUAUUCAUAGUAUCAUAUAACAGCUGCAGUAUACAAGUGAUCAAAGGACUGCAUAGUGCAUAUAUGAUAUGCUAGUAACAUAUGCAGGUACAUCUACAGUUACCAUUUGUUAAAUAUUUAAAAAUAAAUAUAAUAUAUUAAGUACAAUAAAAAAUAAUAAUGAAAGUAAUUUUUUAUGGAUGGAUAAUAGCAAUACUAGUAACAACUAACAACUUAGUGCUUAUCACUUAGUAUCGAACAUCAAUAGCAAUAACUAUAACAUAAUCAACAUUUUAGCACGAUCAAUACCCGUACAAGGCUUACCAUAAACUGAUAUCAAAGCUAUCAUCAGCAAGUACCCGCUUCACCUACAUGGGCCCAUAUAAGAGUGGACAAUAUAUGUAGCUCCAGAAUGCUAAGUGAGCUCACAUAUGUCUAAUACGAUAUUAAACAGCCAACAUAUGCUAAAUUGUCUAUCUUUUUGGUCCAUAUGCCAUAUAACUGCAUAGUGUACCAUAUAAAGGCAACGCGGUGCAGUCAAGGGACCGGAUAAGCAUAUGGGGCAUUUUAAAACACUGAAAUUUAUAUCCUAUAAAACAUGGUCUUUAUGAUGAGGCUACAAAAGAUAUUGUUAAACAAUAAAUCCACAUUAGGAAUCAUAGAUAUUUUAAAUCACAUAUCAUAUCUGCAUCAAAAAUGUAUCAAAUAACAAUGCACAUCGGAUACUUCUCAAAUACAUGUUGGAUACUCAUGUUAAGUCCAAUUUUUCAAAUAUAGAAAAAGACUAUGAAUACUUGUCAGAUUCGCUCAAUAUAUUUCUCUUCCUCUUACAAGAUAGCAUAUCUUCCUUAAUGGAAAUGGUGGCCAACUAUUAAUUUUGUCUAAUGUGAACUAUAAGUUUUAGAUGUCUAUUCGUUGGUCUCUAACUCAUUAAAAAUUUUAAGUGAUAUUUGAAUUCGAGACACAAAUAUCCCAACUCCAACCCCCGACAAGAAGAUAAAAAAGCAUGAAUACAUCUUGACACAAACUCUUGACCACUGAGUCACAAAGCACACACUACAACUAAUACUCAAGGAUUAUUAUUAGCAUCUCGACAAUCAAGGUGAUUCAGAAUUAGCCUUUCAACCUAUCUGCAUAAAAUGCUUUUAUAUCACCCCACCUUAUCCACUCAAGUAUUCUACUAGAACAAGAAUUUUAGAAAAAUAAAAAUAAUGUCAAACAUAUCAUGAUGCAAAAGGAAGCACUAUAUUUUAGACAUCUCUUUUCAUUUUCCAUUUAUAUUCCUAUUAUCAAUCAUAUUUUAACUAUACCUUUCCAACUGCUGCCUCGACAUAAUGCCAAAAGCUUUUGCUAUCAGAUAGACAAAAGUUGAACAAAGAUCUCAUCAAUCAUGGUUUCUUGGCUUUGUGACGGUAUCUAAACAUUUAGUUUUAUCCAAAAAAACAGUUUAUGAUAUAAUUCGUGCAACCUUGUCCAUGUCUGAGAUUUUUGCAGCUUCAUUAGGUAGAAAUGUUUUUUCCCCCAAAAUCUCAACAAGAAUGUCAACCUAUAUAUUCAGCAAUGAAACAGGACCAACAACCAUAUCUCAUAUCUGAACGCGAGAGGAUAAUGUACACAUUGUUCGACCCAGCUUCAUUAUCAGAAAUGAUCUUUCCAUCCUUCAGGAGAGUUCCAAACAUCGGCAACUUUCAAGAAUAGAAAGCAAAUUCUCUAAUCCUUAAUCAACCCAAUUUUAAGCCCCGGCAACCAUUUAUUUCUCAUUCUCUAAGUAUUCCAGAGCACUAACACACAAAUAUAACAUCACGCGCCUUUCAAAACAUAUCGAAAGCCCCCAUGGCAGGAGAUUCUGUUUUUUUUUCGCGGAUCAACGGAUCAACAUUGAGGUGAUCUGGAAAGAAAAUUCUUAUACAGCUCAAAACCAAGAAACAACACGAUCGAGAACAACGUCAAAACAUCCCAAAUAUCGAUCAAUCCGUUCUUUAAAAACAAAAAUUCCCAAAACAGGCACAGAUACACAGAAAUCUGAAGCGCUCGAAUCUAUAAAAUACGUAGAUGAAAACAAAACAGAAAAGCAAAUACGAAACCGAUCGAUUUUGUGGUUAAACAAAAAGAGAUCUCUGUCGACGCCACCAAAAACUAGUCUCGAGAAAUCAGUCAUCGGAUAAAGAAACAAAUCAGCGAUUAAUGACAAAAAAAAAAGAAGAAGAGGGAGAAAGAGAGGGCAUACGUGUAGGUGCCGACGACGGGAGAGAGUAAGAGGGUGGCGCUGAGCCAGUUCUCGGAAACCUUUUGGUGGAUCUUUCCGGGGAGAUCCUUCCACAGCCCCGACAUCACCUUCUGCUGGAACGGCGACAGCGCGUACACCACCGCCUUCAUCCGCACAGGCGUCUUCCCCAUCCCUUUCUCUCUCUUUCUCUCCCUCUCUUUCCUCGAUCCAAAGACCUCUCUUGCUUGCCGAGAGUCCGAGCCCUAUCGCCGCCCCCCUAUACUUCCGGGAGGACUUCUCUGGAACCAGCGUUUGGCACGUGCUGUGCACGUGACCAUUAGAUGAUCGUCAAUUGCUGACUUGUAAAUCUCAAGUUUCAUCAAAGAAAAAAAAAAUCUUUUGGAAGUUCUUAGGGGAUGGCUGUAAUCAAAUGGUUUCAAUGGAUUACUGUAAUUUGAUGAUUUGUUAUGCACAUGAUACUUGGAUUCUAUCUAAAUUUUAAGGUAAUAGCAAAAUUAAAUGCAACGCGAUUGGGUCAGAUUCUAGUGAGGUCAAAUUCGGACAGCUAUAUGAAAACUCUCAACCUAUAUCUAAACCAAUCAAUCCCGCCCAACUCAUUGAAACCACAUAUCAAUAGUUAUGACUAGAUGUGAUUUAUUUGAUCUCUAGCCUAAUCUAUAUUGCAGUGUCGAUUGUUUAUUUAUCAAAUCUAAUUUGUCUGGUUUUGAUUUAAAUUUUUGCAAUUACUGGCUGUCCAUUAACAAAAUAAAUUAAAUAGUAUUGGAGGAAGUUUAAUUACUGAAAAAUAAGAAAAUCUUGACCAAGACUCCAACUAAUCUAAAAUAUUAUAAUUCAAAAAAGUAAUCUUUUCACACGAGUUGAGCGAUAUCGAAACUUUAUUAAUCCAUAUUAGACAAUUAAAAUUUAAGUUAAGAAAAAAUUUAUCCGCACCUCGGACCACUAAAGAAUCUUGAACUCGAACACAAUCCUAGUUCUUGAAUCUGACCAAUUUUUGUUGCCCCAAAUUUCUAGCAUUUAUUGUGUUGAGGCAAGAAAACAUCGCAAGGCAUUCUCCAAAAAAAAACAAGUUGUAAUUUUGGCGGGAAAGAAAAUUUCAUGCAAAUCCACCGUUGGAUCAUCCAAAGGUUGCUUUGAGAUCCAUACAGGCAGAUGAAUGAUAGAUUUGGAUAGCUCUGUGUCAUCCAAUGGGGGAUUUGCAUGAAGGAUGAGAAACCUUCUUUCACACUAUAGAUAAAUUCAUUAUUUUUUUUCCAAUAAGGUGGACAGGACAUACAAUUUUGGUGCAAAUAUGUCUAACAAAAUUAGAGAAUAAAAUAUCUUAAAGUGCAGUCAGAAUAACUGACAUUGUACCCUAUAAGGUGCUCCGCUACAAAAGAGGUGAUCCAGCACAAAUAUAUACACUUCCUCAAAACUCCUUGGAACGUUAAAACCUCACCCGCAACAAGUUGAAGUACACGAUGUCCAAAGCCACAUGUUCGGCCUUCCACCUAAGCUGGCUCUCGCUUCAAAAGGAAUAGCUCCCAAGACCAUGAGAAACCUCCAGGAUGUAAGUAGUCAAGUCAUAUACUCGGUGAGGUUGGUGGAACUAUAGAACACUACAACAAUUAUGAGUUUUGCCGAUUUUAUUUUUUCAACACUAACGGAAAGCAACGAAAAAGUUUGGCUCAACGCCAAUCUUUACCGAUACUUUUACCUGGCAUCGGUAAAUCUCCAAAAACGACGACGCUCUAAAACGUCGUUAAAACAUUAAGAAACGACAACGCUUAACAGCAUCGUUAGAAAACAUUAAACCCCCCAACCGCUCGCCCGGCCCCCUCUCCUCAUUUUCUAUCGGUCGAUGCCCUAGCUUCCCCGCUGCCGGCUUCUCAGUUCUCACCUUCAUCACGAGCCCUAGCUUCCCCGCUGCCAUCGACCUCGCUCCGUCUGAGGUAAGCCUCCUCCUCCUUUUUGUUUUGUUCUUGUUUUUAACGCUCGCUUGGCCUCCUCUCCUCAUACUCUCUCAGUCGAUACCCUAGCUGCGCGCCGACAUCAAACUGAUCUCACCUCCAUCCCUAGCCCCGUUCGGCGAUCGAAGAUCUCACUUCUCCGCCGCCGUCGACCUCGUCGUCGUCUGAGGUAAGCCUCCUCCUCCUCCUCCUUGUUUUCUUCUUAUUUUUAACGCUCGCCCGGCCCCCUCUUUGUUUUUGGCAACGAAACCCUAGCUGCGCGCCGACAUCUCACCUCCAUCCCGAGCCCUAGCUACUUCGCCGCCGUCGACCUCGCCGUCAACUGAGGUAAGUAUUUUAUGCUUACUUUUCUUGUUUACAUGCAAAUAUUUGAUUUGUCAAUAUAGUAUUCAUUAGGAACUUUGUAGCCAUGAUGUUCUGCAUUGGUGCUGUAUUCAAGUUGUAUUAAUCCUUCGAAGGUUGGAUUAUUUCUAAGAAAACGCGUACUUGUAGUGGGUGCCAUCGUUACCGUCCAUCAAGGUUGAUCCUGUCUAUUGAUGAUGUCUGAUUGAACAACGGUAGAUAAAUAAUCAUCCCACCUAGUUAUGUCUAAAACUGAUCACGAAGAUCCAAACUCUUUCCAGCAACCUUGAAGAGACCCUUUCUAUCUCUUUCUACAGCAGCACUCUAUUUACACAAAAACGUUAAAGUCACUUAUUAUUCUUACUUUCAGUUCCAUAUCAUUUUAGAAGGUUUCAUUAUUGAGCACGAAGUCAUUCUCUUUUUUUUUUGUGUGUGUAUGUGUCUACGUGUGCAUGUACUUAGGAAGAUUAGUUCUUAAAAAAUGACAUUGCAAGUCUUAAUAAGAAUUAAACAAAAGGACCUGAGUUUUGAUGGCAUUUAGUUGUGGUCUCUCAUCAAGUCAUCCGGUCUAGAUGUAGAAAAUGACUCGAAAAUGGGAAGUAGUCGUGCAUGCAACUAAGUACAAAAUUUUAAAGAGACCAUACUGGCAGUACCAUUUGUAUGUACUUAACGGUUAUAUUUAUUUUGUGAACAACUAGCUUGUGAAGAGCGCCAUGGGGUGUGAAAUAUGAAGAUAGGAUUAAUUUGGAUCCUUUCCAAUUAAGUAAAUUAUUUCUGCAGCAGAUGCAUGCCCUUUGUAAUUCUCUUACUCUACACUAUACCUAGAAAGAGCUAAAAACAAAGAGUAUAUAUUACAACAAAUUAAAGUGCAAUCUUUACUAUGAACUGCCAAUUCAAAUGGAGAGUAUCCAUUGACAACUAGCGGAUAGCCUACAAAUUGAUAUUAUGAUAGCGGAAGUAGCUUUAGCACCCAUUAAGUAGCUUUAGUAGAACUCAGCAAUGAGGUUGGAGGAAAAAAAAAAAGAGAGCAAGCGAGGAAGAAGAAGAUCUGGAGAAGGAAGAGAGACUGAGAAAGAUGCAAAGCAAUUACGGAACCUAGUCCCCACAGGAUGUUGAAGGAAAAAAAAAACUCGAGGUCUUUUGUUCAUCGUGCAGGAAUUAGGUCUUGCCUUCACAUCUCACAUUCUCCUCUUCCCUUCCAUCUCUCUAGCUUAUCUUGUCACCCUAAAAGGGAAGACCAUAUUUGGUACCUUUGGUUCCUUCACAUUAACAUAGCUUUGUAGAUAUUCAGUACCUACACAUGACUACACAAUUCCAAUCAUGGUUCAAUUGGAUAAAAAUUAAUUUUGAAUUACAUAGUGGUCUUUGUCUACUUUUGCUCCAUUGUGAAGAGCACUAGCAAAAUUGAUCAAGAUCGCGGAGUUCAAGAAAAGAACUUUCAGGGUCACCUACUAAUUGAUUUCGGGCUGAUCCCCCUCAAAUCCGUUGGAUUUUACUAAAAAAAUAUAAAUAGUAGCUAAAAAAACUCCAGUGGAAGAAAACAAGAAAAAUAAAAAGGCCAGGUCCGCCGAGGUACAGAUAUAAUAAAUCUUACCCUCUCUACAAUAAAAUUAUUUUCGUAUUUCAAACUCAUGAUAUCCCAAGUCAAAUAUAGCAGUCUUACUAUUGCACCAAAAAUCCCCCUCAAAAUACAAAAAAUAAGAAAUAUAAAUAAAAAUAGUGAAAAAAUAAAUAAUUAAAAAUAGAGAAAGUAGAGAAGAAAAGAGAAAGAAAGCGAUCUGUUAAUACUAUUAUUAUUUGGGUGUUUUAUAUUUUUUUAAAAAAAUAAUCAAACCUAUGUUUACUCCUUCCAUCCCUAGUAGAACUUUCAGAAAAAAUCUUCAUAAAAAAAAGAAAAGAAAAACUACAUAUAUAAACUUGUAAAUAUAGUUUAUUGCAUAUUUAUUCCCAAGGAAUCACUAUAUAUAUCUAUAUACACCUCUCCAACCAUCUUACUUUUUGUAAUAAUACUCUCCCAUCAGAUUUUUAGCUAACGAUUUUUGCAUUACUACCUUUAAAAAAUUUAACACACAAUUUGUAUCACAAAGAAUUAUAUUUUUGCAUAAAUUUUUUAAAGACAUACAUAAGUACCAAAAAUUUAAAGAGUUUUUUGCAUGAAUACCCUCCUAAAUAUUGAAUUUUGCAUGAAUACCCUUCCAAAAUUUAUAUUUGCAUGUAUACCCUCGUAAAACACUUGUUUUGCCAUUCUAUCCUUUUUUUAUUUUUAUUUUUGCAUAUGUAUCCAUGUUAUCUAACGACGUUAAGAAAUUAACGGUUUCAAAUUAAAAUGACUAAAAUAUCCUUAAUGGGUAGACAAGUAAUAGAUCACAAUCCCGCUAGCAGGAGAAGAAAACAGGGACAAUAGUAAUUUUAAAAUUUUAUUUUAUUUUUAAUUAAUAUAAAUAUGAUUUUUCUUAAUACCGUUAGAACAACCGUUAUAUUACGGGAAUUUGUAUAAUAACAGAGUUUUACGAAGGUAUACAUACAAAUAUCAAUUUUGGAAGGGUAUUUAUGCAAAAUCCGAUAUUUAGAAGGAUGUACAUGCAAAAAAUCCAAAUUUAAAAGCACCGACACUAACUUCUUUUAUUUAUUGAUUGACUGCUCCCCCUAUUAGACUAACAUAGCUAACUCUAAAAACCAAAGACAAAGUAGGUUGUUUGGUCAAUUAAUUGUACACUAAAACCAAAGACAAAGUAGGUUGUUUGGUCAAUUAAUUGUACCCUAAAACUAGUAUAAUUAGAACUUCAAAAUAGGAACUGGUUGAGCAUUGUUGGAUGUACAAUUACAGACCAAAUUGACUUGUAAAGUCUUUAUGAUUGCAUUUUCUUUGACCAAAAAAGAUUGGCCAUUAAGAUCCUUUGCUGCUCUAUUUUGCAUGAAAAUUCUCACAUGUGAGCCAAGACCAUCAUGCUUAAAUUAGAGGCAUGGAAAACCCCAUUUGACCGAGAACAAACCAGAUUUAACCCAAAAAAAAGAAAAAUAAAUAGUAUAUAAUCCUAGCACAUUACUAACUUAAUAUAGAUAUCUGAUAUCUCAUAAAGUAAUGGUUAGACAAGCGACAUGCAAUUUAAAUUUUCUGAAAGAAAUUCACUUUAUUUUUUAGUUAUUAUUUUUGUGCAAAAAAAUGAUUAAGUCUCAUAUUAAAAUAUUAUAAAUUUAGAUUUGUCCCAGUAGCCAUACCUCUCUGCUUACUAAUCAGAAGUUCUAAAUUCCAACUUGGAUGGUAGUUGGUACGUAUCCCUGGUAUUGCAACCUAGAUAUAAUUUUGGCGGAUCUCUUUUCUUAUCUCUAAAAACGAUGAGGUGGAAACUGGAUUACUGGAACUGUUAGCUACUCUAACAAAAAAUGGGCCAUAUCAAUCUAACAGUCUUCACUAUCAAAAGCACAACGAUGUUCCAUUAGAAUAUAUAUGUGCAUGCAAGGACUAAUCAUCAAUUUUUAUGAAUAAUUAAAAACAUAAAUAUAUCAGAGAAGCCUCAUGGUACUCUUAAACGGGCCCAUAUAAUAAUGGAUAGUUAUAACUUAGUUCGGUGACUCAGUGAUACGUAUGCAAAAGCCACCUCAGUGAUACUUCAUGCCGCAUCACAAAUAGCCAGCAACAGCAGCAGCAGCUCUGUUACCGCUUAGAAUCAGUCUGAUUGCGGCGCCAAGCGCUGAGUCAGAACGACGCUGGGAGGACAGUGAAAGUUUGAACAGCAACAACACGAUGGUCUGUCAGAACUUCAGAGAAUUUAUUCGAAAUGUCUCCCUGGUAUAAACGAAGGUCCACGUCACGUGGGUACUCAGUCACUUUUUUUGUAGGCCAUCAUACGUUCCGAGGAUCACAUAUAGUCGUUUUGCAUGCAUAUCAGGCUCUGUAUAUCUUGUAGGUGUGGUUUGAAAAACCACUUAUGAUUGUGGCCGAGAUGUUGUAAGCUAUGAGAAGAUUUUGAAAUUCAAAGAGCUGUCUGUUGCUUCUUAGGCUUGCCAUGUGGCAGGCCUUGAUUGAUGGCUUGGUCAGUCCUCCAUAUCGACUAUAGCCGAUUCUAAGGCAUAUCACACUUCAUGAUGUAUCGCACUAGGACUGCAACAAUAUAUAUCUUCCAAGCUACAACUCGUCUGGAUGAAGUCGGAAUCACUAGUAAUCGUUGAUCAGCCAUAUGGCUAUAAAUUUGUUCUCGGAUCUUGUACCUACAACCAGUCGCACUAUGGGAGCAGGCCAUAUUCGAAGUCGUUAUCUUAACCGCAAGGAAGGGGAUGCCGAAGGUGGAGCUAGUGACUAACUGAAGUAAAAUCGUAAUAAGAUAGCCGUAUUGUGGCAAAUGAACAUGAGAUAAAUACCUUUGUAGUGUUGAUGUGUCCGAAGCCGGCAUUGACUCGUUCUCCAUAUGUCAUUGGACGCAAACCUUACCUUUGACUCUCACUU
RNAcentral lists this long non-coding RNA (29287 nucleotides) under Phoenix dactylifera (date palm). Its description in RNAcentral is "long non-coding RNA (PDAC_LNC000861)". The record is from RNAcentral. Lineage: Eukaryota; Viridiplantae; Streptophyta; Magnoliopsida; Arecales; Arecaceae.